Molecule: non-coding RNA, 468 nt
Organism: Pelobates cultripes (western spadefoot toad)
Lineage: Eukaryota; Metazoa; Chordata; Amphibia; Anura; Pelobatidae
Source: the annotation of a GenBank genome assembly
CUGGGAUACUCUGUAUCACUAUAUACAGCCAGCCUGGGAUACUCUGUAUCACUAUAUACAGCCAGCCAGAGAUACUCUGUAUCACUAUAUACAGCCAGCCUGGGAUACUCUGUAUCACUAUAUACAGCCAGCCAGAGAUACUCUGUAUCACUAUAUACAGCCAGCCUGAGAUACUCUCUAUCACUAUAUACAGCCAGCCUGGGAUACUCUGUGUAAGGAAAUCAAGUAUAGCUGAACCGCUUUGAUAAUUCCUCCUGCAAUGCCAGCGUCUAAGGUAGUUCCAAGCAAUGAAGUCCAUAAGAAAUAUAACAGCUUCCCAAGAUAAUCCCCUUGGUAAAGCAUACGAAUUCCCAAAUAACAGUCAGAGUCCAGAAUCAGGAUACAAGUAGAUCUGAGGUCUGGAAUCUCCAGCCUGCUUUUUAUUAGGGUUACAGACAAGAAAUACACACCCAGGGGGAGGCAUUAAAU